CACGUAGGGCGCGAGCGUUGUCCGGAAUUAUUGGGCGUAAAGAGCUCGUAGGCGGCCUGUUGCGUCCGCUGUGAAAGCCCGGGGCUUAACCCCGGGUCGGCAGUGGAUACGGGCAAACUAGAAUUCGGUAGGGGAGACUGGAAUUCCUGGUGUAGCGGUGAAAUGCGCAGAUAUCAGGAGGAACACCGGUGGCGAAGGCGGUUCUCUGGGCCGAUACUGACGUGAGGAGCGAAAGCGUGGGGAGCGAACAGG
RNAcentral lists this ribosomal RNA (252 nucleotides) under uncultured bacterium. Its description in RNAcentral is "partial 16S ribosomal RNA". It matches the Rfam family "Bacterial small subunit ribosomal RNA", at positions 524 to 776 of the family's 1533-position model. The record is from RNAcentral.